RNAcentral lists this ribosomal RNA (305 nucleotides) under uncultured bacterium. RNAcentral's name for it is "bacterial SSU rRNA". It matches the Rfam family "Bacterial small subunit ribosomal RNA", at positions 335 to 636 of the family's 1533-position model. The record is from RNAcentral.
AUUCCUACGGGGGGCAGCAGUGAGGAAUAUUGGUCAAUGGGCGGGAGCCUGAACCAGCCAAGUCGCGUGAGGGAAGACGGUCCUACGGAUUGUAAACCUCUUUUGCCGGGGAGCAACGGGGUCCUUGCGAGGGCCCGAUGAGAGUACCCGGAGAAAAAGCAUCGGCUAACUCCGUGCCAGCAGCCGCGGUAAUACGGAGGGUGCGAGCGUUAAUCGGAAUUACUGGGCGUAAAGCGCUCGUAGGCGGUAUGUCAAGUCAAGGGGGAAAUCCCCGCGCUCAACGUGGGAACUGCCUUUGAAACUGG